Molecule: long non-coding RNA, 793 nt
Filed under: Solanum tuberosum (potato)
Lineage: Eukaryota; Viridiplantae; Streptophyta; Magnoliopsida; Solanales; Solanaceae
Description: long non-coding RNA (STUB_LNC003640)
Source: RNAcentral
CCCGUAGUAAGUUUUUGCUUCAAAUCCAAGACCCUAUAUUCUUCUCUUCGUUUCUCCCCGGGCAACUUUGUAGUAUGUUUCACAUUGAUGAUCAGAUUGAGAGGUUGUUCUUUCCCGUAAUAUUUCUUCAUAUUUUCCCUGUAAUAAAUUGAGAUGAAGAGAAAACAUUAAAGAUUAGGAAUAAAAUUAUAAUGGAAGGAAAAUGCAGAAACACACAUAACCUUUUAGCUUAAUUAAAUGUGCUAUACUUUUUUAGCCAACUUACAGUACAUUUAAGCUUAUAUGUAUCAAUGAUUGUGCAGCAAAACCAACUCAAUAGUUCCAUCUCAAAAAAAUAAGUAGCUCAAUAAAUUCAAAAUAAAGAAAACAACUGAAGUGUCUAGCAUGGAGUAUUUUCCUAAACAAGCCCGAAAGAUGAAUGUUUACCAUUAAAUAUUAUCCAUUUUUUUUGUCAAAUAAAUUUCCGUCAACCCUACAGAAUAAAUAACACAUCUAGUAUUGAAGAGGAAGUUGUUCAACUCAAUAUGAACCAGAAUGAUUGAAAGCAAUAAUUCAGUUGUUCACAUGUAAAUUCAUUGCAACAAGUGUAAACUAAAAGCAAGUUAAAUAUAAAUUCAAGGACAUACCAAAUAGAAGCAUUCCAUCUCCUAUUGCAGCAUCCCCUCUUCAUCAGAAAGGCUUGGUUUGUACUAGGUAAAAAAGCUAAAGUUGAUUCCUUUAACUAGAAGAAGGCUAAUGUUGUGUUAAUUAUACAAGGACUCAAGAUGGUCAACAAUGAGAAAUACUAUUCUAU